GAGGGUGUAGGUCAGAGGUAGAGCAUGUGCUUAGCAUGCACAAGGUCCUGGGUUCAAUCCCCAGUACCUCUA
Molecule: transfer RNA, 72 nt
Filed under: Camelus bactrianus (Bactrian camel)
Lineage: Eukaryota; Metazoa; Chordata; Mammalia; Artiodactyla; Camelidae
Also listed under: 1 other name
Rfam family: tRNA
About the family: Transfer RNA (tRNA) molecules are approximately 80 nucleotides in length. Their secondary structure includes four short double-helical elements and three loops (D, anti-codon, and T loops).
Source: Rfam by way of RNAcentral